RNAcentral lists this unclassified non-coding RNA (301 nucleotides) under Hevea brasiliensis (rubber tree). The record is from RNAcentral. Lineage: Eukaryota; Viridiplantae; Streptophyta; Magnoliopsida; Malpighiales; Euphorbiaceae.
GUUUAACUCGAUAAACAAUUCCGAGAAAUAACACUCCUUUCUUGCUCAUUCCCCGUCUCAGUCUCCGUAUCUCAUCCUCUUUCGUAUCUAUCGAUCUUCUUAUUUACCCUUUUUUUAUUAUAUCUCUAACAUCUUUCCAAGCAAAUAUCCUACCAAUUUCACCAUACCUACCCAAAAUAGAGAUUAAAAUAUAACCAAAACCAAUCCCUACUCCCGCAAAACAUGAAAGGUGAGUAUGUAGAGCCACACCACCCACCAAAGCAUGAAAACGUCACCCCUAUGAACAUGUUCUCCAAACUUC